GUGCCAGCAGCCGCGGUAAUACAGAGGGUGCGAGCGUUAAUCGGAUUUACUGGGCGUAAAGCGUGCGUAGGCGGCUUUUUAAGUCGGAUGUGAAAUCCCUGAGCUUAACUUAGGGAAUUGCAUUCGAUACUGGGAAGCUAGAGUAUGGGAGAGGAUGGUAGAAUUCCAGGUGUAGCGGUGAAAUGCGUAGAGAUCUGGAGGAAUACCGAUGGCGAAAGCAGCCAUCUGGCCUAAUACUGACGCUGAGUACGAAAGCAUGGGGGCAAACAGAUUAGAUACCCCUGGUAGUCC
Molecule: ribosomal RNA, 291 nt
Filed under: uncultured microorganism
Description: partial 16S ribosomal RNA
Rfam family: Bacterial small subunit ribosomal RNA
Source: RNAcentral